ACGCUAGCUACAGGCUUAACACAUGCAAGUCGAGGGGAAACGGCAUUGAGUGCUUGCACUCUUUGGACGUCGACCGGCGCACGGGUGAGUAACGCGUAUCCAACCUUCCCAUUAUUGUGGGAUAACCUGCCGAAAGGCAGACUAAUACCGCAUAGUCUUCGAUGACGGCAUCAGAUUUGAAGUAAAGAUUUAUCGGUAAUGGAUGGGGAUGCGUCUGAUUAGCUUGUUGGCGGGGUAACGGCCCACCAAGGCGACGACCAGUAGGGGUUCUGAGAGGAAGGUCCCCCACAUUGGAACUGAGACACGGUCCAAACUCCUACGGGAGGCAGCAGUGAGGAAUAUUGGUCAAUGGACGGAAGUCUGAACCAGCCAAGUAGCGUGCAGGAUGACGGCCCUAUGGGUUGUAAACUGCUUUUGUAUGGGGAUAAAGUUAGGGACGUGUCCCUAUUUGCAGGUACCAUACGAAUAAGGACCGGCUAAUUCCGUGCCAGCAGCCGCGGUAAUACGGAAGGUCCAGGCGUUAUCCGGAUUUAUUGGGUUUAAAGGGAGCGUAGGCUGGAGAUUAAGUGUGUUGUGAAAUGUAGACGCUCAACGUCUGAAUUGCAGCGCAUACUGGUUUCCUUGAGUACGCACAACGUUGGCGGAAUUCGUCGUGUAGCGGUGAAAUGCUUAGAUAUGACGAAGAACUCCGAUUGCGAAGGCAGCUGACGGGAGCGCAACUGACGCUUAAGCUCGAAGGUGCGGGUAUCAAACAGGAUUAGAUACCCUGGUAGUCCGCACAGUAAACGAUGGAUGCCCGCUGUUGGUACCUGGUAUCAGCGGCUAAGCGAAAGCAUUAAGCAUCCCACCUGGGGAGUACGCCGGCAACGGUGAAACUCAAAGGAAUUGACGGGGGCCCGCACAAGCGG
Molecule: ribosomal RNA, 908 nt
Filed under: uncultured bacterium
Lineage: Bacteria
Description: bacterial SSU rRNA
Rfam family: Bacterial small subunit ribosomal RNA
Source: RNAcentral